GGCUUGAUGGUAUAACGGUUAAUGCCCUGCUUCAACUCAGCUGAAGGACUCCGUACUGCAGGUACUGCAGGUGAUCCCGGUUCGACUCCGGGUCAGGCUA
This is a non-coding RNA of Mycena rosella, 100 nucleotides long. Lineage: Eukaryota; Fungi; Basidiomycota; Agaricomycetes; Agaricales; Mycenaceae. The record is from the annotation of a GenBank genome assembly.